CAAGGAGGAAGCCGCCCAAGGUAGGAUUGAUGAUUAGGGUGAAGUCGUAACAAGGUAUCCGUACGAGAACGUGCGGAUGGAUCACCUCCUUUCUAUGGA
Molecule: ribosomal RNA, 99 nt
Filed under: Spiroplasma poulsonii
Lineage: Bacteria; Bacillati; Mycoplasmatota; Mollicutes; Entomoplasmatales; Spiroplasmataceae
Description: partial 16S ribosomal RNA
Rfam family: Bacterial small subunit ribosomal RNA
Source: RNAcentral